RNAcentral lists this ribosomal RNA (413 nucleotides) under uncultured bacterium. Its description in RNAcentral is "bacterial SSU rRNA". It matches the Rfam family "Bacterial small subunit ribosomal RNA", at positions 356 to 766 of the family's 1533-position model. The record is from RNAcentral.
AAGGAAUAUUGGUCAAUGGACGCAAGUCUGAACCAGCCAUGCCGCGUGGAGGAUGAAGGUCCUCUGGAUUGUAAACUUCUUUUAUCUGGGACGAAACACUUCUUUUCUAAGAGGCCUGACGGUACCAGAUGAAUAAGCACCGGCUAACUCCGUGCCAGCAGCCGCGGUAAUACGGAGGGUGCAAGCGUUAUCCGGAUUCACUGGGUUUAAAGGGUGCGUAGGUGGGUACGUAAGUCAGUGGUGAAAUCCCCGAGCUUAACUUGGGAACUGCCAUUGAUACUAUAUAUCUUGAAUGCCGUAGAGGUAAGCGGAAUAUGUCAUGUAGCGGUGAAAUGCUUAGAUAUGACAUGGAACACCAAUUGCGAAGGCAGCUUACUAUGCGGUGAUUGACACUGAGGCACGAAAGCGUGGGU